UACAGAGGUCUCAAGCGUUGUUCGGAUUCAUUGGGCGUAAAGGGUGCGUAGGCGGAUUGUUAAGUCGGGGGUGAAAUCCUGAGGCUCAACCUCAGAACUGCCUUCGAUACUGGCAAUCUCGAGUCCGGAAGAGGUUGGUGGAACAGCGAGUGUAGAGGUGAAAUUCGUAGAUAUUCGCAAGAACACCAGUGGCGAAGGCGGCUUACUGGUCCGGUUCUGACGCUGAGGCGCGAAAGCGUGGGGAGCAAACAGG
RNAcentral lists this ribosomal RNA (253 nucleotides) under uncultured bacterium. RNAcentral's name for it is "partial 16S ribosomal RNA". It matches the Rfam family "Bacterial small subunit ribosomal RNA", at positions 524 to 776 of the family's 1533-position model. The record is from RNAcentral.